This 468-nucleotide ribosomal RNA is filed under the name uncultured bacterium. Its description in RNAcentral is "partial 16S ribosomal RNA". It matches the Rfam family "Bacterial small subunit ribosomal RNA", at positions 28 to 507 of the family's 1533-position model. The record is from RNAcentral.
GACGAACGCUGGCGGCGUGCUUAACACAUGCAAGUCGAACGGAAAGGCCCUGCUUUUGUGGGGUGCUCGAGUGGCGAACGGGUGAGUAACACGUGAGUAACCUGCCCUUGACUUUGGGAUAGCUUCAGGAAACUGGGGCUAAUACCGGAUAGGAGCUCCUGCUGCAUGGUGGGGGUUGGAAAGUUUCGGCGGUUGGGGAUGGACUCGCGGCUUAUCAGCUUGUUGGUGGGGUAGUGGCUUACCAAGGCUUUGACGGGUAGCCGGCCUGAGAGGGUGACCGGCCACAUUGGGACUGAGAUACGGCCCAGACUCCUACGGGAGGCAGCAGUGGGGAAUAUUGCACAAUGGGCGGAAGCCUGAUGCAGCAACGCCGCGUGCGGGAUGACGGCCUUCGGGUUGUAAACCGCUUCCGCCUGUGACGAAGCGUGAGUGACGGUAAUGGGUAAAGAAGCACCGGCUAACUACGUG